Clostridium sp. CAG:798 is the source of this 74-nucleotide non-coding RNA. Lineage: Bacteria; Bacillati; Bacillota; Clostridia; Eubacteriales; Clostridiaceae. The record is from Rfam.
GUGGAUGUAGCUCAGUUGGUUAGAGCGCUAGUUUGUGGCACUAGAGGCCGUGGGUUCGAGUCCCAUCUUCCACC